Molecule: ribosomal RNA, 586 nt
Filed under: uncultured bacterium
Lineage: Bacteria
Description: partial 16S ribosomal RNA
Rfam family: Bacterial small subunit ribosomal RNA
Source: RNAcentral
UGGGGAAUUUUGGACAAUGGGCGAAAGCCUGAUCCAGCAAUGCCGCGUGUGUGAAGAAGGCCUUCGGGUUGUAAAGCACUUUUGUCCGGAAAGAAAUCCUCUGGGUUAAUACCUCGGGGGGAUGACGGUACCGGAAGAAUAAGCACCGGCUAACUACGUGCCAGCAGCCGCGGUAAUACGUAGGGUGCAAGCGUUAAUCGGAAUUACUGGGCGUAAAGCGUGCGCAGGCGGUUUUGUAAGACGGAUGUGAAAUCCCCGGGCUUAACCUGGGAACUGCAUUCGUGACUGCAAGGCUAGAGUAUGGCAGAGGGGGGUUAGAAUUCCACGUGUAGCAGUGAAAUGCGUAGAGAUGUGGAGGAAUACCGAUGGCGAAGGCAGCCCCCUGGGCCAAUACUGACGCUCAUGCACGAAAGCGUGGGGAGCAAACAGGAUUAGAUACCCUGGUAGUCCACGCCCUAAACGAUGUCAACUAGUUGUUGGGGAUUCAUUUCCUUAGUAACGUAGCUAACGCGUGAAGUUGACCGUCUGGGGAGUACGGUCGCAAGAUUAAAACUCAAAUGGAAUUGACGGGGUCAUAGCUGUUUCC